RNAcentral lists this ribosomal RNA (771 nucleotides) under Triticum aestivum (bread wheat). RNAcentral describes it as "partial small subunit ribosomal RNA". The record is from RNAcentral. Lineage: Eukaryota; Viridiplantae; Streptophyta; Magnoliopsida; Poales; Poaceae.
AUGGCCCUGCCUAGGAUCAAGGUGGCUGUGCCCGUGGCUUUAGUUGCUGCUACUUCUGCGACAUCCAUGGACAUCGAUGAGGAGCGUGGUGAUGCGGAAACCGCGGAUGCGGCCACCUCUCGGGCAGCACCAACAGAUAUUAUCCAGCUUCCUGACGAUGAUGAUGAUGAUGUGUCUUUGAAAAAUGCCGGGAGGAGAGGCAAAACUUUGAGCAAGAGGGUGCCUGGAGCUAGAACGCCUCGCUCGGCAUCUGAUCCUGUGGUCCAACAACUCAACGAUCUAGUACGGGCUUCAGUCUCUUUUGCCAAUCCUGUGUCGACUGACCAACCCUCAGUGUCGACUGCUCAAGCUCCAGAUUCAAUUGCGCAACUUCAGGCUUCUACUACACCGGCCACGUCACCUAUUCCAUCAUCUCUUCUAUUUGCUCCACAUCACGUCCCGGAGGACCAAGUAGGGGCUGCCAAGCAGGCCAUGAUUCAGGCAAGUCUGAUGAUGGACCGACUGAAGGUGGUGUGUGACACCAGCAAGGCCGCCUAUGAUGCCAACUCUGCUCUCCAAGCCAAUGUCCGAGUAAGUGGGAUUAAAUCUUAUGAGCUUGGGACUCAAUAUGCUGCUUUGUCACAGGAGAAAAUCCAACUUAAGCUCGACCUAGAUCUGGCCAAGGAGAACUUGAAGAAAGCACAAGAUGAAGUGGCAAGAGACAAAAUGAAGCAGGCUAUGGAGCAGAAGGACCUUGAUCUUGUGGCGGCGCAGAAGACGACGCGUGAUUAG